GGAGAGAUGCCAGAGCGGUCGAAUGGGGCGGUCUCGAAAACCGUUAUCCGCGUAAGUGGAUCCAGGGUUCGAAUCCCUGUCUCUCCG
RNAcentral lists this transfer RNA (87 nucleotides) under Cyclobacteriaceae bacterium. Its description in RNAcentral is "tRNA-Ser". It matches the Rfam family "tRNA". From Rfam's summary of the family: Transfer RNA (tRNA) molecules are approximately 80 nucleotides in length. Their secondary structure includes four short double-helical elements and three loops (D, anti-codon, and T loops). The record is from RNAcentral. Lineage: Bacteria; Pseudomonadati; Bacteroidota; Cytophagia; Cytophagales; Cyclobacteriaceae.